Molecule: small nucleolar RNA, 92 nt
Organism: Sorex araneus (European shrew)
Lineage: Eukaryota; Metazoa; Chordata; Mammalia; Eulipotyphla; Soricidae
Gene: SNORD12C
Product: small nucleolar RNA, C/D box 12C
Source: Ensembl
GCCGGGGGACAGGAUGACCACUCUUUUUUCCCCAUCAGAUCGACAAUGCUGAUGGCUUAUGCACUUUGCCAGUUGGUUCUGAUCGCACCGGC